RNAcentral lists this long non-coding RNA (1020 nucleotides) under Struthio camelus australis. Its description in RNAcentral is "lncRNA (ENSSCUG00000007806.1)". Lineage: Eukaryota; Metazoa; Chordata; Aves; Struthioniformes; Struthionidae. The record is from RNAcentral.
GACGAGUUAGUAGUAGCUUCCGCUUCCGGGGAAGGCAAGGUGCAUCUUUAAUCCGUGCUGAGGAGAAAAACAGCUCACGCACCCACGUUCAACCGUGCUGUAACUCUGCCCGCAGCAUAAAUUUAGAACUCAACGAUUUGUAAUAUGGGCCAGAUCUGUGUCUGGUCUUGUUCUUCAGGGCUGCGUCUAACACCUCUGUGAUUACGAGGACAUUUCUGUGCUCUUCUUUAGCAGGGAUGAGAACAGCUCAAGGUGACUUCAAAACCUCUUCUGCUGACAAAGGCCUAGAAAUGCUUCUGUAGCUGUGGAAGCGGACGGCUGGAUGGAGACCAUAAUCUCUGUCACCCUGAAUGACCACUUCCCUCUAUGCAUUUGGGCUUUUAUUGGAAUACAAAAGAAAAAUGACUGUGUCUUUCCUCCUUGCAGAGAAACCCCUCUGAACUUCAACUGAUGCAGAGGGGGAAACUACAGACAGAGACUCUGGACCACAUGGAGUGCCUUUCUCUGCUCCACUUGAGCCAACCUGGCUGUUGCUGGGAUUGUGGAUGCAGUGUGGACUCCACCAUUUUCCACCUAGAAGUGCUCAAAUGAGGCAUGCAGCUUAAGAAAAAUAGGGGAAGAUACCUUUUUUAGCUGUGUUUCUAAUGAUGAUGCAUAUAUUCUCAAAUAUGCAUGCAUCAGCACAAACAUCGGCCAGACGAGGCACAAGACAAACAAGUCAUCAAGGACAAAUAAAAGGAGGUUCAUUCAUCGCAUUCAGGGCUGGAAUCUUUAAUGGUCACCAAAUGAACUAAGAUAACUAAGUAACCAUUGUAAAUAUUAAUCUUUAAAGGAAAACAAUACUCCCAACAACAGGAAGCCUGAUAAGACAUUGGAUGUUGCCAUCAGUGUUAUGGAGUCUCUCUAAUUUCCUUAGUUUUUUCUUAUGCCUGUAGAGGGAUCAGGAAGGGGAACAUAUGGUAUCUUUCAAAGGAAGUAAAUUAACAUUAUUAAUAGCUAAUGUGGGAGAGGUGAAACAGU